AUUGAACGCUGGCGGCAUGCCUUACACAUGCAAGUCGAACGGCAGCACGGGUGCUUGCACCUGGUGGCGAGUGGCGAACGGGUGAGUAAUACAUCGGAACAUGUCCUGUAGUGGGGGAUAGCCCGGCGAAAGCCGGAUUAAUACCGCAUACGAUCUACGGAUGAAAGCGGGGGACCUUCGGGCCUCGCGCUAUAGGGUUGGCCGAUGGCGGAUUAGCUAGUUGGUGGGGUAAAGGCCUACCAAGGCGACGAUCAGUAGCUGGUCUGAGAGGGCGACCAGCCACACUGGAACUGAGACACGGCCCAGACUCCUACGGGAGGCAGCAGUGGGGAAUGUUGGACAAUGGGCGAAAGCCUGAUCCAGCAAUGCCGCGUGUGUGAAGAAGGCCUUCGGGUUGUAAAGCACUUUUGUCCGGAAAGAAAUCCUUGGCCCUAAUACGGUCGGGGGAUGACGGUACCGGAAGAAUAAGCACCGGCUAACUACGUG
RNAcentral lists this ribosomal RNA (486 nucleotides) under uncultured bacterium. RNAcentral's name for it is "partial 16S ribosomal RNA". It matches the Rfam family "Bacterial small subunit ribosomal RNA", at positions 29 to 507 of the family's 1533-position model. The record is from RNAcentral.